Molecule: ribosomal RNA, 427 nt
Filed under: uncultured bacterium
Lineage: Bacteria
Description: bacterial SSU rRNA
Rfam family: Bacterial small subunit ribosomal RNA
Source: RNAcentral
UGGGGAAUUUUGGACAAUGGGCGCAAGCCUGAUCCAGCCAUGCCGCGUGCAGGAUGAAGGCCUUCGGGUUGUAGACUGCUUUUGUACGGAACGAAAAGGUGCCUUCUAAUAAAGGGCGCUCAUGACGGUACCGUAAGAAUAAGCACCGGCUAACUACGUGCCAGCAGCCGCGGUAAUACGUAGGGUGCGAGCGUUAAUCGGAAUUACUGGGCGUAAAGCGUGCGCAGGCGGUUUUGUAAGACAGAGGUGAAAUCCCCGGGCUCAACCUGGGAACUGCCUUUGUGACUGCAAGGCUGGAGUGCGGCAGAGGGGGAUGGAAUUCCGCGUGUAGCAGUGAAAUGCGUAGAUAUGCGGAGGAACACCGAUGGCGAAGGCAAUCCCCUGGGCCUGCACUGACGCUCAUGCACGAAAGCGUGGGGAGCAAACA